GUAGACGCUACGGACUUAAAAAAUCCGUCGACUUUAAAAAUCGUGAGGGUUCAAGUCCCUCUAUCCCCA
RNAcentral lists this transfer RNA (69 nucleotides) under Wendlandia guangdongensis. RNAcentral's name for it is "tRNA-Leu". The record is from RNAcentral. Lineage: Eukaryota; Viridiplantae; Streptophyta; Magnoliopsida; Gentianales; Rubiaceae.